RNAcentral lists this long non-coding RNA (461 nucleotides) under Linum usitatissimum (flax). Its description in RNAcentral is "long non-coding RNA (LUSI_LNC001651)". Lineage: Eukaryota; Viridiplantae; Streptophyta; Magnoliopsida; Malpighiales; Linaceae. The record is from RNAcentral.
AGAUGAUGAGAGAGAGGGAGAUGUAUCCGGCUCCAAUGCUUUCAAACGAUCCUGCUGCUGCUGAUGCUGCCAAUUCCGUUGUUGAUGAUGAUGAUCAUCAUCAUCAUGACAAGAAUCGGCCUAGAGUUUAUCAGGCUUGGAAAGGGAGUAAUGUCAGUGACAAUGAUCCUUCUGUUUCUCUGUGUUUUCAUCCCUUUUGUAUAUAAUAAUAAUAAUUCAUCCUUUGGCUAAUUGGGUUUCUGGGUGUUAGAUAUGAUGCUAAUUUUAGAUGGCGAAGUUUGAAUCUUGCUGUUUAUAUCCCGAUUGGGUGCUGUUAGUUUUUAUAUAUCAUAUUAUGAAUGAAUAAUCUUUCUGGGUUCUUCUGAAUUUGGAUCCAUGCUUGGAUAUUAGAUUCUAUCUAGUCUGUAGUGAUAGAAGCAAAUAAUAGAAGAGCAUUGGAUUUGUGAAACAUUUUAAUGGUG